UUUAACAUUUCAAUUGUCUGUUACCUAGGAACAAUUUGUUUUGAUUAUUAUUUACAUGCAUAAUGACUGUCCUUUGAAUUUAGAAAAAGGAAGAAUUUAUAUUACUGAUAUUUCUUGCUAAUAAGUAUUACAGUGUACGAAUUGUUUAGCUGCGAAAGACCGCUGAAAUGAUAGCUUACAGACAUUAAAACGAUGAAAAAGUUCACUGCAAAGGUUGCAUGCCAAGGCCAAGAAAAUAAAGAUUCCAAAGAUGAUGAAACUUGUUCAAAAGAAGAAAAAACAGACGAGUUUGAUUUGCAGCUUGAAUGGGACGCAAAAGAGACAGAAGACAAUCUUCGUCUUAAUUUUCCAAUUUUAAAAGAUAAAAAGUUUACUUUGUGUUACAGACCAAAAGAAAAUGCAGAGCCUGAGCCAAUACCAGAUCCAAUAAAUACAUCGCAGAAACUUAAACAAUUUUUUGAACUUUUAGAAAUUAAACCUGUGAUAUUUUUAUAUC
Molecule: long non-coding RNA, 496 nt
Organism: Mytilus californianus (California mussel)
Lineage: Eukaryota; Metazoa; Mollusca; Bivalvia; Mytilida; Mytilidae
Exons: 3
Source: RefSeq, a predicted model, not a curated record